Molecule: RNA transcript, 3982 nt
Organism: Zingiber officinale
Lineage: Eukaryota; Viridiplantae; Streptophyta; Magnoliopsida; Zingiberales; Zingiberaceae
Exons: 4
Source: RefSeq, a predicted model, not a curated record
GGACCGGUUGACCUCCAAAAGAAAUGGGGAAGAGCUCCACCGACCAGCGCGCCGAUCCCCCAGGUCUCCUCGAUAGCGGUCGCUAUGAGGCUGAUUCGCCACCGCGUGGAGGGGUAGAGGUAGAGGAGCGCGGCGGAGGCACCCACCGCCCCGGCGACGGCCUCGGCCACCCCAGCGGCGUCGAAGAAGAAGGUAGGGAGCGCAAGGCCGAGGGUUAGCAGGAUGACGUAGAGGCGGAUGACUAGGGUUAGGUACUAGCGGCGGCCGAUCCGGCGGCGGAGAUGAGAGGGGGAGAUGCCGCCAGUGGCGUAGGUCAUGGCGAGUGCGAGAAAGAGGGAGGCGACGCGAGCGAUCGAUGUCGCGGCGCAGCGUUGGCCGACGAGAGUGGACGUCGAAGGUGGACCGCAGCGGAGUAGGGGGGAGAGGAGGUAAGGAGGGGAGCAGAGAUGGAGUAGGCGGAGAGGAACAACGAUGAAGUGGAGAGAAGCGCGAGGAUGAUGAUGAUGACGGAGGGUGCCAACGUGACGGGAGCAGGAGACCUCGCCGGAAGGUAAGUGGAUCGGAAUAGGAUUUUGUUGGUUGCAAUCCGAUAUCCGUGAACCCGCAAAUUUCAGUGAUCCGAUUGCUGAUUCCCUAUUUAAGUCUCUCACACACAAUCACAAACAGCGCCGCCACGCUCUCCUAGCCCUAACCCUAUUUCCCAUUCCGAUCGGUCUUCUCCUUUCCCCGUCUCUUGUCCUCCUUUCCUGACACUACCACGGGCGACGGCGUAGGAAUCGGCCUUCUCUGGCGUACGUACUCCUCUCCGCAGUUCUGCGCCAGCACUGAGAUUCUGAAUCAACGCCAACUUCUGGGCCACCUCCAUCGUCCACCCCGGAGUCAGGAAACAAACUUUAUUGUGGUGUGAGAUGUUCCAGCUUGACCAGAGAAAUGAAGAUAAGUUAAGUAUUAUUUGGUUUACCCAUGGAACUUCAGGAAGAAGAAAAAAAACAUUCUGUUCAUUUUGCCUUUUUGGAAUGGGAGGUAUUGGAAAAAAUAACAGGGCUUGAUUUGAACAAAUAUGGAAGAAGAGGAGAAGCAUAGAUGUAGAAGAAUGCUCUUUGCAUGAAAAAUGUCAUUUGUAUGAUGUUCGAGUUGAUAUUGAUGAUGAAACUCACCAAAAGGUAUCAGAGCCCAAGUAAAUUUAAUAUUCAUAAGAGAUUCUUGAAUGCAAAGACGCUCCUGAGAUUGUUGGUAUACUUUGGAUAAGUAUUUACCACUUCUAAGGGAUUUCCUACCAGAUUCAAUAUGACAAAGCAAUUACAGAAGGUUUCAUCAUCUCCAUCAUCCUUAACCAUCUAGUGACAAGUUUAUGUUAUAUUUUAGUCUCUUAUAUUGUCUAAUUAUCAACUUUUACUCUGUUUUGACAUGAUAAAUAAUAUUGAUACUGGAAGUUGCAGAUGAAUCUAGGUAUGAUGUGGCAGUCAUGAUCAAGGGGACGAGGCGGUUAAAGUUAAGGGAAUGUGACAACCAACAUAUCACUCUCAACAGGACUUUACUUUUCGCUUAGCGCUAAGACCUUUAGUACGAGGACGACGGACCUAUGAGCCGGUCGAACCUAGGGCAUCUAGCACUCUAUUCCUAUAUUAAUACAUCUAUCAUAUAUUUGCGCUUCGAUAGCUGACCAAGUUUAAGGGAUGUUUGACCUCUCACUUAUCUGAUCGGUCAUACGUACCAAGUUUAAGGAAUGUUUGACCUCUCACUUAUUUGAUCGGUCAUACGUCUGGUCGGGAUGGGGGGACUCAGCUUCCCACUCAGCACAGGUCUUUCAGCAUAUGACCGGUCGAUUCUACCAUCGGUGGACCUAUGGGCUUUCUUACAUGAAGUCCUUCCGCAUUUAGCCGGUCGGUAAUAAAGCUGGUUGGAUUUACACCACCUAGCAUGCCUAUCGCUCAUACAUACAGGAAACUUCUUAUAAACUUAGCCGGAUUUCUAGAUCUUAGGUUCGCACUUUGAAGGCAAGUCUUCUUUCAUAUAGACGAUCGGUUUAAAGUACUGAUUAAAUCUUCAAGGACUCAGUUCCUCAUUUUUCAAGGGUAAGUAUCCAACUAUAUGGUCGGUCAUCUAAAUAAUCGACUAGACCCAAGGCAUUUAGUUUCAUAUUACUUCCAGAACAGAUCUCCAAUACCACAGUGUAUAAUCGUGCGACUUAAUUAAAGGAAGGAUGGCUAUACAGUCGGUUGAUUUAAAGACCCGGUCAAGGUAUACUCAACAGAAAACAUGAUUAGAGAAUCACAACAACCUGUCAGAAUAUCAACUGUUUUGUCAGAGAAUAUUCCUUUAUUGUAAUGAGAACAUUUACUAGAAUCUUCUUGAAAGGUGAUUAUAUUUCCCAUCAACCGACAACUUAUGACAACAUAUUUCUUCAACUAUAUCAUUAAUGAUGUAAGUUAUAGAAGACCAAAGAGGUAACGGAAGAUUCCUUGGACGGUUAUUGUACAUCGCUGAAGCUGUAUGUCUUCCCUUACUCAAUAACUUUUGGCAUUCUCUGUCACUUCAUGAUUAUGGAGGUUAUAAGUGGCGGUAUAUAAAGCGGUUCUCUCUGUUGACAAGGUACGCAUACACACACCUUACGACAAUCUUAUUUACGCGUAUGUAUUCCACUAUUCUUCUCUCCGUUUGCCCGCUCUGACAUCGUACUAACUUGAUUGUCGUAUGACCUUUAUCAGGGACUCCUUCCCUGGUCUUUAGACAUUGACGAUUUAUUUGGUUUCUUGAGUGUGUGCAGAGAAGAGAAAGACAUUCGAAAUUUUUUUUAUUCCAGUUCAACAUCUCUUUCCUUCGUAAAGUCUUCUAUCAAUCAACCAUAUCGUCACUUAUUUAGUACGUCAUCUCUGCAGUUCUCUGAUCAAAUAUAUUUUCUUGAUUAGUUAAAUUUGACUAGUUUAUGCUCCUAAAACUAAAUAUUCUUUUUUUUAAUCAGUUUGGCUGUUUUUUUUUCCUUUUAUUGCUUUGGGUAUUUUGGACAUCUGUUUAGAAAAUUGCACCUUGCCGGUCAGUGUGGUGACCUUGGGAUCUCAAAAUUUCUUUUGGAUUAAUUUAUUUCCAUAAGAAAGUCACAUCCAGGUGAUGCAAUUGGAAGCAGAAGAUCCUAUCUAAACCCUACCCUUAAGAUCAUUCAUGAGACUUUAUAAUCUUCUCACAGACAGAGAUGAGUAUUCACGUUAUUGUUGUUCAUCUACUCCAAACAUGUCAACUCCAAACACAUUGUCAACUCAAGAAUCGAGCACAACUCCUGUUAUGGGUGGAGUUCAAGUAAGUACAAAUGAUAUCAAUGAAGUUUCUCAAAGCAAGGAUAUGACUGAUAAUAUUGAAGAUGAGGAAAACAAUCCAUAUUGUCGGAAGAAAAGGAAACACACAUCUCCAGUAUAGAUUGAUUUUAAACAGAUUACUCUACUCGAUGGGAAGAUGAAGGCCGAAUGUAUUCAUUGUAAGCAUCGAUUAUCAAUUACUACAGGUUGUACAUCACCUUUGAAUAGGCAUAGUGCUGGAUGUGUGAGGAGGCAAAUGAACACGACUGGGCAAAAAAAUAUAAGUAUCAUCACAAGCAUUUCGGAGUCAGAAAUUGUAGUUAUUCAACUUAUUGAUGAAGAGUGCUUCCCCAUAUUUUCAAAAGGUUAGUCGUGCCACUGCAAAGAAAGAUUGUUUUACUUAUGAAAUAGAGAAGAAAAAAUUAAUGGCAGCAUUAAAGGACGUAAAUAGAGUCAGCUUGACUACUAAUUUAUGGAGGUUUUAUCAGAAAAUUUCAUAUAUGGUUGUCAUUUGUCAUUAAUGGACUCUCCUAAGUCCCACCACCCCGUACAGGUAUUGUUAUUUGUGAUGUUUUGAACAAGUGUUUGGUUGAAUGGGGAAUUGAAAACAAGGUAUGGAUAGUCACAGUCGAUAAUGUUGCAUAUAAUGAUGUAACUAUUCGAAUGUUAAAAGAAAAUCUUUCUUACAAAAA